UACUGAGUGGCAAACGGGUGAGUAUAAUGUGGGAAUCUGCCUUUUGGUUUGGAAUAACACGGGGAAACUUGUGCUAAUACCGAAUAAGCCCUUACGGGGAAAGUUUUAAUGCCGAAAGAUGAGCCCGCACUUGAUUAGCUAGUUGGUAAGGUAAAAGCUUACCAAGGCUACGAUCAAUAGCUGUUCUUAGAGGAAGACCAGCCACAUUGGGACUGAGACACGGCCCAGACUCCUACGGGAGGCAGCAGUGGGGAAUCUUGCACAAUGGGGGAAACCCUGAUGCAGCGAUGCCGCGUGAGUGAAGAAGGCCUUUGGGUUGUAAAACUCUUUCGUCGGGGAGGAAAAUGACUGUACCCGAAUAAGAAGGUCCGGCUAACUUCGUGCCAGCAGCCGCGGUAAUACGAAGGGACCUAGCGUAGUUCGGAAUUACUGGGCUUAAAGAGCUCGUAGGUGGUUAAAAAAGUUGAUGGUGAAAUCCCAAGGCUCAACCUUGGAACUGCCAUCAAAACUUUUUAGCUAGAGUGUGAUAGAGGUAAGUGGAAUUUCUAGUGUAGAGGUGAAAUUCGUAGAUAUUAGAAAGAACACCAAAUGCGAAGGCAACUUACUGGGUCACUACUGACACUGAGGAGCGAAAGCAUGGGUAGCGAAGAGGAUUAGAUACCCUCGUAGUCCAUGCCGUAAACGAUGUGUGCUAGACGUUGGAAAUAUAUUUUUCAGUGUCGCAGCGAAAGCGUUAAGCACACCGCCUGGGGAGUACGACCGCAAGGUUAAAACUCAAAU
This 780-nucleotide ribosomal RNA is filed under the name uncultured Alphaproteobacteria bacterium. RNAcentral's name for it is "bacterial SSU rRNA". It matches the Rfam family "Bacterial small subunit ribosomal RNA", at positions 89 to 906 of the family's 1533-position model. Lineage: Bacteria; Pseudomonadati; Pseudomonadota; Alphaproteobacteria. The record is from RNAcentral.